RNAcentral lists this long non-coding RNA (1181 nucleotides) under Equus asinus (donkey). Its description in RNAcentral is "lncRNA (ENSEASG00005031397.1)". Lineage: Eukaryota; Metazoa; Chordata; Mammalia; Perissodactyla; Equidae. The record is from RNAcentral.
AACAAUGUUACCCAAGAAAUGAUACAACUUUAGACAGCGAUGCGCUACGAUGCAAAUGAUAACAGCGGACACAUAGAGAACUUCCUCUGUGCCAAGCACUGUUCUAAACAUCUUAAUAAACAUAAACUCAUUUAAAUCCUCACGAAAGCCCUGUAAGGUUAUUUUCAGCCCCCCGUUGUAGAGGAGGAACCUGCCCCGGCAAAGCUCCGGGGACGGGCCGAUGGGCAAAGCGGCAGGCUGGAGUCUGAACCCCGGCCAUGCCCACUAUCCACGGGCUGCGCGCUCAGGAGGGAGGCAGGCGCCCCCGCGCAGAGAAGGGGCAGCAGACCCAGACGAGCCUGGGCCGGAACAGAGUCUGGGGUCCAGAUCAGAGCGGCGGGAAGGGUUGCGGCCAAGCGUGGGGCCGUCUGCGGGCGUACCAUCGAGGGCCCCCAAGCUAAAAAGGCCUCGGAAGCCCCAGGAGAGAAGCGCACGCGGAACGCCCUCCACCUCCCCAGGACCAGGAGCCGACCCCCACCGCUGCUCUCGGCCCCCACGAGACGAACCCCCGACGCGGCGCGGGGGGCUCCAGGGAACCGGGUGCCUGGAGGGGGGCUUCCGCAGAGCCCCAGAGCCGCGUCUUUCCGGGGAGGACCGACUCUCACUCCGAAACCCCUCCUGGAGCUGGCCGAACCUCCAGAAGUCCCGGGACCCCUGUCCCCCACGCCCCCACAGCGCCCGCUCCCCUCAUCGCCCCCCUCCCCUCCCAGGCGGGAAGCAAACACCGCGAGACCGCGAGAGGCGCGCGGCCUGGCGGCGCAGAAGAGCCCUCGGCUCUCACCUCCGAGCCAGGAAGGACGACCUCGCGUUAUCCGGGAGAAGCCGGGGGAAGCGUCCGGCUGGAAGCUGCUUCCGGUCCUCGGGGUGGGGUGGGGUGGGGGCGGGGCCUGGAACGGUUGCCAUGGAGACGAGGCGCCGCCGCCUCAGGUUUCCCGAGAGGCUGGCCCGAAGCUAGGGAAACUGGGGGUAACCGCGCUGUGAGGGGAAGCCGGCUGCUCGGCGUCCCGGUGCAAAUAAACCGGCAUUGUUAUUUCUCAGAGUACUUCUACUUACAUUAUUUCAUUUACGCUUAAAUGAUAAAUGAGUUAUUCUCAUUUUACAGAAAAUAAAUCCAAAAGUUGCGUGACUUGCCCAAAGGUCAC